Long non-coding RNA from Gasterosteus aculeatus aculeatus (three-spined stickleback), 1902 nucleotides. NCBI's taxonomy places the organism in Eukaryota, Metazoa, Chordata, Actinopteri, Perciformes, Gasterosteidae. The record is from Ensembl.
AUUUAAGGAACUAUUAAUUACGCAGAAAAUGUGACCAAACAGUUAGAUAAAAUUUGAGUAUUUAGUCAUUUCAGCUGUGAAUACAUUAUGUACAACUCAGAUUUAAAUAUUCUAUCAAAAGGUUCCCUUUUAAAAAUAAAGCGUUGAAACAUGCACUAGCUUAAAUUUCUCAAACAAAGAACUUUGAAGACAAAUGUACAUACAUUUGACAUUUUAUUUUUUCUUCACAUUAUUGCUUUACAAUAAAAUGCAUUGGUUGGAUAUGUCCAGUAUAGCAAGACAAUACAUUCAUAUAAGUUACAGAUGUCCUCGGUAAUGCUUUAUAGUAACUAACUUUACAUUAAAUAUAUUUUUAAUCAUGUAUUAUUCUUGACAAACAACUCCCACAUCACAUUGAGCUCACAGUGCAUCAGGUCGCAUUCAAUCAAGAAAUACAUACCGGUCCUCUCUUGUGUUCAAUUGCCAUUUCUAAAGUGUGUGUUUUAAAGUAUGUGCGCUUUUUUUGUACACAGGAUUUUCAUACAAUCUGGAUUUAUGCACAGUAAUGACAAGUAUGGCAUCUGUUUUUCAACUAUUUCCCCUCCUCCUCCUCCUCCCCUCAAAAAGUGUGACUAGCUAACAAAGAUGCAGGUUAGACAACCGGCAAAUGUCAUGACAAAACGAGCGCAGUUUAUUCCCCUGCUGUUUACCCCUCCUCAAAUAUGGCAACCGGGGCGUGACCACACAGAGCAACAAAAGAUAUAUACAAAAAUAAAUUAAACCUCAACUCUGCACAUUCUGAAUCAACUCACUUGCAGUACAGAAGACUCACUGAAACGGAUUUGGGGGGGGAAUAAUGGAGAUGUACAAAGGGUCAGUGUGUAUGUGGGAGAGUCUGUAGGCCCUGUGUGGUCACCUCCUGACCUUCAAGUCCUCCUUAAUGUCUGCGCUCAUCCAACUCCUUUGGGGGAAAAAAAAAAAAAAAAAAAAAAAAAAAAAAAUCAACGGCCCCAGGGCAGUGGAGGCAAGCCGUCCAUUCCUUCCUCCCUCAGCUAGGGUUGGCGGAGUUAAUGCCCUUGUGCAAGAGGGGGCGAGGGGGAUUCAGCACUUUCCUCAAAGCCACCAUUCACCGUCUACCAUUUGGUCUCAGUUCUCUGGCUGUCACAAACACACCUGUGAGCUCACACAUCAAGUACCACGAGACAAACCGACGUCACAUCUCCACAGGAUCCCCGUCGUUAUAUGGCAGCCUUGCAGGGGCCUUCGGUCACAUAGAAUUCUUUAAAUUGAGCUUGCAUAUACAUGUGCCUGCCGGCCACCGCAGGGCGGAGGGAUAUCUCUCCACACUUAAAACACUCCACAUGAGCCUCUCUUUUGACCGUGCACCUCACUUGGUGGUGGUGUGCUCAGCCAUUUUUUUUUUUUUGCAUGAUGUCAAAAUGUCUGGAUUGCAGUGUAGCUCGUAGCUGCCGAUUUUUGUAAAGUGGGUCGGGCCGUUUUUAUUCCCAAUGGAGACGCCCAGAAGCCCUCAGCCUUUUUGCGGUGUGGUGGAGCAGCUGCAUUUAAUGUCCCUGCAUGCGCUGCAGACAGGCGGGUGUGCUCAUGGUGUCAACAAGGUUCCAAUCGGUUCAAGAGUUGAAGAGUCUGGUGUCGGAAAAUGCGGCGUGGGCCCAUACGGAGCACACGCCUCCACAAACAAACACGCGCACAAUUGCUCUCUCGCUCACUCACUCAGUCAGUCACAUAUACACUGAAAAUACACACACGCACAGAAGGAAGCACUAGUUGAUUCAGAAUGAGAGGACUGCUGUUAAAGUGCAAUAUCUACAUGUAACUCAAAAUCAAGAGACCAUCGCCAUCUGCUGGAUUUGUCCAUCUAUGAGUUUCCCUGAUAACCGCCGGCUGGGGUUGGCACCCCCAGCC